This 269-nucleotide ribosomal RNA is filed under the name uncultured prokaryote. RNAcentral's name for it is "partial 16S ribosomal RNA". It matches the Rfam family "Bacterial small subunit ribosomal RNA", at positions 505 to 773 of the family's 1533-position model. The record is from RNAcentral.
AUGUCAGCCGCCGCGGUAAUACGGAGGGUGCAAGCGUUAAUCGGAAUUACUGGGCGUAAAGCGCACGCAGGCGGUUUGUUAAGUCAGAUGUGAAAUCCCCGGGCUCAACCUGGGAACUGCAUUUGAAACUGGCAAGCUUGAGUCUUGUAGAGGGGGGUAGAAUUCCAGGUGUAGCGGUGAAAUGCGUAGAGAUCUGGAGGAAUACCGGUGGCGAAGGCGGCCCCCUGGACAAAGACUGACGCUCAGGUGCGAAAGCGUGGGGAGCAAAC